GCUAGUAAUGGCAGGUCAGCAUACUGCCGUGAAUACGUUCCCGGGCCUUGUACACACCGCCCGUCACACCAUGAGAGUUGGGAAUACCCGAAGCCUGUGAGCUAACGAAAGAGGCAGCAGUCGAAGGUAGAAUCAAUGAUUGGGGUGAAGUCGUAACAAGGUACC
Molecule: ribosomal RNA, 165 nt
Filed under: uncultured bacterium
Lineage: Bacteria
Description: partial 16S ribosomal RNA
Rfam family: Bacterial small subunit ribosomal RNA
Source: RNAcentral